GGAUUACUGCUGUUUUGCCCCACAUCUUACCCAAGCUGCUCCACCUUCCACUUACUGCGUUUAAUGCACAUGCUCUUGGAGCUGCAGCUGAGGUUGCUGGACCUGGCCUUAACUCUCAUCUUGGUACUGUUAUUUCU
Molecule: non-coding RNA, 137 nt
Organism: Prunus avium (sweet cherry)
Lineage: Eukaryota; Viridiplantae; Streptophyta; Magnoliopsida; Rosales; Rosaceae
Source: RefSeq, a predicted model, not a curated record